AUUGAACGCUGGCGGAAUGCUUUACACAUGCAAGUCGAACGGCAGCACGGGGCAACCUGGUGGCGAGUGGCGAACGGGUGAGUAAUACAUCGGAACGUGCCCAAUCGUGGGGGGAUAACGUAGCGAAAGUUACGCUAAUACCGCAUACGAUCUACGGAUGAAAGCGGGGGAUCGCAAGACCUCGCGCUCUGGGAGCGGCCGAUGUCGGAUUAGCUAGUUGGUGGGGUAAAGGCCUACCAAGGCGACGAUCCGUAGCGGGUCUGAGAGGAUGAUCCGCCACACUGGGACUGAGACACGGCCCAGACUCCUACGGGAGGCAGCAGUGGGGAAUUUUGGACAAUGGGCGGAAGCCUGAUCCAGCCAUGCCGCGUGAGUGAAGAAGGCCUCGGUU
This 391-nucleotide ribosomal RNA is filed under the name uncultured bacterium. RNAcentral describes it as "bacterial SSU rRNA". It matches the Rfam family "Bacterial small subunit ribosomal RNA", at positions 29 to 424 of the family's 1533-position model. The record is from RNAcentral.